ACGCUGGCGGCAGGCCUAACACAUGCAAGUCGAGCGGUAGAGAGAAGCUUGCUUCUCUUGAGAGCGGCGGACGGGUGAGUAAUGCCUAGGAAUCUGCCUGGUAGUGGGGGAUAACGUUCGGAAACGGACGCUAAUACCGCAUACGUCCUACGGGAGAAAGCAGGGGACCUUCGGGCCUUGCGCUAUCAGAUGAGCCUAGGUCGGAUUAGCUAGUUGGUGAGGUAAUGGCUCACCAAGGCGACGAUCCGUAACUGGUCUGAGAGGAUGAUCAGUCACACUGGAACUGAGACACGGUCCAGACUCCUACGGGAGGCAGCAGUGGGGAAUAUUGGACAAUGGGCGAAAGCCUGAUCCAGCCAUGCCGCGUGUGUGAAGAAGGUCUUCGGAUUGUAAAGCACUUUAAGUUGGGAAGAAGGGCAGUAAAUUAAUACUUUGCUGUUUUGACGUUACCGACAGAAUAAGCACCGGCUAACUCUGUGCCAGCAGCCGCGGUAAUACAGAGGGUGCAAGCGUUAAUCGGAAUUACUGGGCGUAAAGCGCGCGUAGGUGGUUUGUUAAGUUGGAUGUGAAAUCCCCGGGCUCAACCUGGGAACUGCAUUCAAAACUGACAAGCUAGAGUAUGGUAGAGGGUGGUGGAAUUUCCUGUGUAGCGGUGAAAUGCGUAGAUAUAGGAAGGAACACCAGUGGCGAAGGCGACCACCUGGACUGAUACUGACACUGAGGUGCGAAAGCGUGGGGAGCAAAC
RNAcentral lists this ribosomal RNA (745 nucleotides) under uncultured bacterium. RNAcentral's name for it is "bacterial SSU rRNA". It matches the Rfam family "Bacterial small subunit ribosomal RNA", at positions 33 to 773 of the family's 1533-position model. The record is from RNAcentral.